CUCGGCAUACAGCAAGUGCUUAAUCAAUUCAGGCCGAAUGCUGGACACAGUGCAUCGACCCCAAAAGCGAUGUGUCAGUCCAGGGCCGGAGCGGAGGGUGCGCAGGCCGCCGACGUGGGCGACACAGAAGGGACGAUGUGAGCGAGGCAAGGGCGGCCUCAACCCUGCAGGGGCGGGGCAGCGACUUAAGGACCGAGGCUUUCCGCAGCUCCCCCAAAAUGGAGACCUCUUGGCCGCGCGGCGGAGGGAGCACGGAGCCUGGAGCACCGGGUGCUAAAAUAGCAGCGCGAGUGCGCGCGAGGGUCUGGCGCAGAGGGCAAGCAAUGUGCCUGGCUCUGCAGGGUCAACCCCAACCUCCUGGAGUCCUCUGUUCUCUUCCCAUUCCAGCGACUCAGACUGGAACCUCUGCGGGGACAGGAGCUAAGUUGGCCCUUUCCCUAUGCUCAGGGUAUGGAGCAGCGCUUGCCUUCGAAGAAUUAACACAAAUAAUCAGCAAUGAUUUCACACGCCAUCUCUUACUGAACUCUCUCAAUAACCUCUCAAGGAAGUAUCUGAAAUUGUGUGGAAACAAUGUAUAAAGCAAAGGGCAGUUCCCGACAUUCAUGUGUUCCUGAGUCACUAACCCCCAAAUAACUUCUGGCUCUGCUGCUUUUCACUGCUUCUGAAAAUGACAUUACUUCAGCUUGUCCCAGCAAGGCCUCCAUUUUAUGUACAUUCCUGUCUGAAUACUUGAGAAGGACUCACAGAGUGCGCCAACAGCUUUGCGGUUUCUGAAGUGCUUUUAAGUUGCACGUGAGGAGGAAUGA
Long non-coding RNA from Rhinopithecus roxellana (golden snub-nosed monkey), 806 nucleotides. RefSeq lists it as uncharacterized. The transcript is spliced from 3 exons. The record is from RefSeq and is a predicted model, not a curated record. Lineage: Eukaryota; Metazoa; Chordata; Mammalia; Primates; Cercopithecidae.